UACCAGCACCCCGAGUGGUCGGGACGAUUAUUGGGCCUAAAGCAUCCGUAGCCGGCCUUACAAGUCUUCCGUUAAAUCCACCUGCUUAACAGAUGGGCUGCGGAAGAUACUAUAGAGCUAGGAGGCGGGAGAGGCAAGCGGUACUCGAUGGGUAGGGGUAAAAUCCGUUGAUCCAUUGAAGACCACCAGUGGCGAAGGCGGCUUGCCAGAACGCGCUCGACGGUGAGGGAUGAAAGCUGGGGGAGCAAACCGG
RNAcentral lists this ribosomal RNA (253 nucleotides) under uncultured bacterium. RNAcentral describes it as "partial 16S ribosomal RNA". It matches the Rfam family "Archaeal small subunit ribosomal RNA", at positions 474 to 727 of the family's 1478-position model. The record is from RNAcentral.